Molecule: long non-coding RNA, 342 nt
Filed under: Olea europaea (common olive)
Lineage: Eukaryota; Viridiplantae; Streptophyta; Magnoliopsida; Lamiales; Oleaceae
Description: long non-coding RNA (OEUR_LNC013913)
Source: RNAcentral
UGUUGGCACUCGUUGGUUGUUGAUCUCAGUAGGCACUUCACCUAGCUUGUGUUACCGUGUAUGCAAUUGCGUAGUGGUCGCGUUACUGCCUCUAGCUCUAGUACCCUUAUCAUGGACCCCUCCCAAAUUGAGGCCCUCAACCGACAGUUGGCGCAGUUACAAAAUCAACUAACGACUGUCCAAACUGAGGUAGCCGCUACUCGUGAGGAGAAUAGAGCCCUAACUGCUAGGUUGAACACUCUUGACCCAAUCCCAUAUUCGACCGAAGCUGAAAACUCUGAGGCUUCCAUUAAUAGACCUCAUCGUCGUCUACAAGGUGGUCGACACCACGCCCAACAUGAC